This 371-nucleotide ribosomal RNA is filed under the name uncultured organism. RNAcentral describes it as "partial 16S ribosomal RNA". It matches the Rfam family "Bacterial small subunit ribosomal RNA", at positions 527 to 896 of the family's 1533-position model. The record is from RNAcentral.
GUAGGUGGCAAGCGUUGUCCGGAAUUAUUGGGCGUAAAGCGCGCGCAGGCGGUCCUUUAAGUCUGAUGUGAAAGCCCACGGCUCAACCGUGGAGGGUCAUUGGAAACUGGGGGACUUGAGUACAGAAGAGGAAAGCGGAAUUCCAAGUGUAGCGGUGAAAUGCGUAGAGAUUUGGAGGAACACCAGUGGCGAAGGCGGCUUUCUGGUCUGUAACUGACGCUGAGGCGCGAAAGCGUGGGGAGCAAACAGGGAUUAGAUACCCUGGUAGUCCACGCCGUAAACGAUGAGUGCUAAGUGUUAGGGGGUUUCCGCCCCUUAGUGCUGCAGCUAACGCAUUAAGCACUCCGCCUGGGGAUACGGCCGCAAGGCUA